AGGGUUCGAUUCUGGCUCAGGAUGAACGCUAGCGACAGGCUAACACAUGCAAGUCGAGGGGCAGCACGGGAGUAGCAAUACAACUGGUGGCGACCGGCGCACGGGUGAGUAACGCGUAUGCAACCUACCUAUCAGAGGGGAAUAACCCGGCGAAAGUCGGACUAAUACCGCAUAAAACAGGGGCACCGCAUGGUGAUAUUUGUUAAAGAAAUUCGCUGAUAGAUGGGCAUGCGUUCCAUUAGGUAGUUGGUGAGGUAACGGCUCACCAAGCCGACGAUGGAUAGGGAACUGAGAGGUUGGUCCCCCACACUGGUACUGAGACACGGACCAGACUCCUACGGGAGGCAGCAGUGAGGAAUAUUGGUCAAUGGGCGAGAGCCUGAACCAGCCAAGUCGCCGUGAAGGAAGAAGGAUCUAUGGUUCGUAAACUUCUUUUGCAGGGGAAUAAAGUGCGGGACGUGUCCUGUUUUGUAUGUACCCUGAGAAUAAGGAUCGGCUAACUCCGUGCCAGCAGCGGC
Molecule: ribosomal RNA, 518 nt
Filed under: uncultured bacterium
Lineage: Bacteria
Description: bacterial SSU rRNA
Rfam family: Bacterial small subunit ribosomal RNA
Source: RNAcentral